GAGCGGUAACAGGAGCUGUAGCAAUACAGUUUGCUGACGAGCGGCGGACGGGUGAGUAAUACGUAGGAACCUGCCCUUAAGCGGGGGACAACCAAGGGAAACUUUGGCUAAUACCGCAUAAACUCGAGAGAGGAAAGCUGCCCGCGAGGGUGGCACUUGAGGAGGGGCCUGCGUCCGAUUAGCUAGUUGGUAGGGUAAGAGCCUACCAAGGCGAUGAUCGGUCUCCGGUCUGAGAGGACGACCAGUCACACUGGGACUGAGACACGGCCCAGACUCCUACGGGAGGCAGCAGUGGGGAAUAUUGGACAAUGGGGGCAACCCUGAUCCAGCGAUGCCGCGUGAGUGAAGAAGGCCUUCGGGUCGUAAAGCUCUUUAGGUUGGGAAGAAGGGUGCGGUAUGAAUAAUGCCGUACUUUGACGGUACCGACAGAAUAAGCACCGGCAAACUCUGUG
Molecule: ribosomal RNA, 452 nt
Filed under: uncultured bacterium
Lineage: Bacteria
Description: bacterial SSU rRNA
Rfam family: Bacterial small subunit ribosomal RNA
Source: RNAcentral